Catharus ustulatus (Swainson's thrush) is the source of this 914-nucleotide long non-coding RNA. RefSeq lists it as uncharacterized. The transcript has 8 exons. Lineage: Eukaryota; Metazoa; Chordata; Aves; Passeriformes; Turdidae. The record is from RefSeq and is a predicted model, not a curated record.
CUUUCACAGCGCUGCUUUUGAACAGCCUGGUGCUUUGUAGUUGCUCUAAUCAUGCCAGAGACAGCUGUUGGUGUUUGGAAGUGCCCUGCAGAGGCACUAGACCUGCUGGGCUGGGGAUGACUGACUUGCUGUGAAGCCAGGAGCCAAGGAGACCCAUCCUACAGCAAACAGAGCUGCCAGAAGAAAACAAAUACAACCCUGUUUGGAACAAAGAGAGCUGUGGGCUGCUUGUUUGGAACCUCAUGAUUGGACCUUCCUAAGGUUGCAGCUGGCUGACUCCCUCUGCCUUCCAGAAGAUGUCUCUCACCAUCAAGCAGAGACUGCCAUCACUCAGGAGAUGAAUCUGCCCCAGGUUGUCCAGCUUCAAGACAAGAGCAAGACCUCCAUCACAAGACAUGCCUCUACAAUGUCAUUAAAUAAACACCAAAAACAGAUUACAUGAAAGCAGCCAUUUUAAGCUCAUUGAAAAAGGAGAUACCAACUCCAGUCUUACUCAAGUUGCCCAGAACUGCUGAGAAAAGAGGAUUAUUUCCACCAGCUCCUCUGCAUCACUGACAGGGAAGAGUUCAUUGUGCCAAUUCGUGCCAUUGGUGCCCGAGCCAUCCUGGACUUCCCUGGCCAGCUGGAGUUCUGGCAGUGCCCGGUCAAGUACAGCACUGAGAAAACUCUGCUGGUUCGAAACCUCGCAGCUCAUUACCAGCUGAGCACCCAGAGGAGGGAGAGACUGGCCAAGUUGUUCAGCUGAAAUCAGUGUGUUCUUUAAGCCCCAAGAAGCCCGGCCCCAACCUAGAGCUUGGCUAAACCAAGCAGUUUACUGCAACAUCUCGGAUCAGAGCUGAUCCAGUGGAUUGUCAGGGUGGGAAUUGUCCCAGAGUCAUGGUCCCUGGAUACAAAAAUAAUUGAAGAAAACAGCC